CGACCUGAGAGGGUGAUCGGCCACACUGGGACUGAGACACGGCCCAGACUCCUACGGGAGGCAGCAGUAGGGAAUCUUCCGCAAUGGACGAAAGUCUGACGGAGCAACGCCGCGUGAGUAAUGAAGGUUUUCGGAUCGUAAAGCUCUGUUGUUAGGGAAGAACAAGUGCGAGAGUAACUGCUCGCACCUUGACGGUACCUAACCAGAAAGCCACGGCUAACUACGUGCCAGCAGCCGCGGUAAUACGUAGGUGGCAAGCGUUGUCCGGAAUUAUUGGGCGUAAAGGGCUCGCAGGCGGUUUCUUAAGUCUGAUGUGAAAGCCCCCGGCUCAACCGGGGAGGGUCAUUGGAAACUGGGAAACUUGAGUGCAGAAGAGGAGAGUGGAAUUCCACGUGUAGCGGUGAAAUGCGUAGAGAUGUGGAGGAACACCAGUGGCGAAGGCGACUCUUUGGUCUGUAACUGACGCUGAGGAGCGAAAGCGUAGGGAGCGAACAGGAUUAGAUACCCUGGUAGUCCACGCCGUAAACGAUGAGUGCUAAGUGUUAGGGGG
RNAcentral lists this ribosomal RNA (550 nucleotides) under Bacillus pumilus. Its description in RNAcentral is "bacterial SSU rRNA". It matches the Rfam family "Bacterial small subunit ribosomal RNA", at positions 288 to 830 of the family's 1533-position model. The record is from RNAcentral. Lineage: Bacteria; Bacillati; Bacillota; Bacilli; Caryophanales; Bacillaceae.